Molecule: ribosomal RNA, 256 nt
Filed under: uncultured bacterium
Lineage: Bacteria
Description: partial 16S ribosomal RNA
Rfam family: Bacterial small subunit ribosomal RNA
Source: RNAcentral
GUCCACGCCCUAACGAUGGGUACUAAGUGUCGGCGGGUUACCGCCGGUGCCGCACCUAACGGAGUAAGUACCCGCCUGGGAGUACGGCCGCAAGGUUGAACUCAAAGGAAUUGACGGGGCCCGCACAAGCGGUGGUGCAUGUGGUUCAAUUCGACGCAACGCGAAACCUUACCCAGGCUUGACAUGCUCGUGGUAAGAACCGGAAACGGGGAUGACCCUGAAAGGGGAGCGAGCACAGGUGCUGCAUGGCUGUCGU